This 4584-nucleotide long non-coding RNA is filed under the name Homo sapiens (human). RNAcentral describes it as "HSALNT0227343". The record is from RNAcentral. Lineage: Eukaryota; Metazoa; Chordata; Mammalia; Primates; Hominidae.
CAGGGCCCACCAUGGGUGUUGACGGCUUCAUGAUGGUAAGAAGAGAACCCCCAGUCAUCCAGCUGGCGUGGCAGCCAAAGAGAAACACUUAAUCGGAUGGAGAUGAGAGCCCACCAGAGCAUAUAAUAGUCGCUGCUCCAAGAAGGCUGAGAUUCUAGGAUGCACGCACAGCCCACUCUCAACUCAUGACCUCCUCUGUGCCCAGGGAGCAGAACCUGCUAAUGAGAGGAACAGAAAAACCCACACAGAUCAACUCUCAAUGUCACUUUUACGGAGCAAGAUUCUUAUUUCUUCACAUGCUUUUUCUACCAUUUCAAGCAGACAAGACCUUUAUUCAAGGAUUCAUUCAUCCAUCCAAAAGACAUUUAUCAUGCUAUUCAGGAACAACAAGAAAUGAACAAUAAAGACAGCACAAUGAAGUCUCCUGCCUUGCUCCUACACUUGAGCUUCUGGGUUUAUGUUCUUUUGAAGAGAAAAAAAUACAUUGUAGAAGAAGAUUUUGUGUCCCCAUAAAAGUGAUCCCACACCCAGAGAUGACCCCACACUGGUCUAAGCCUGGUAUUUGCAACGUCAACUCAUGCCACUCACAUGGAGACACCAAUUAGGGCUUCUCAGAUGAAAGCUGAGUAUUUAAAUGUUAUUUUGGGGGAAAUGCCAUUAACCAUGCACACCUCUCCUUUCUACUCAAAAGACAUAAUAAAGUGACAGUAAAGAUUGACAAGGUGUUAACAAAAAGGACGAGAAUGUGGGCUAGAAGAAAGUAGAAGAUGGGAAAUAAAAAUGAAGGAAGUUGCAACCUAAAUGUUUGAAGUGGGGAUACCUGAGCAGCUAAUUCCUCCUAUAAAACCCCUGAGAGCCGGGUGCGGUGGCUUGCACUUGUGAUCCCAGCAUUUUGGAAGGCUGAGGCGGGUUAUCACCUUAGGUCAAGAGCUCGAGACCAGUCUGACCAACAUGGUGAAACCCCAUCUCUACUUAAAAUACAAAAAUUAGCCAGGCAUGGUGGCACAUGCCUGUAGUCCCAGCUACUUGGGAGGCUGAGGCAGGGGAAUUGCUUGAACCCAGGAGGUGGAGGUUGCAAUGAGCCAAGAUCUCACCAUCGCACUCCAGCCUGGGCAACAAGAGUGAAACUCUGUCAAAAAAAAAAAAAAAAAAAAAACACCUGAGGACUGAGGCUGAAAGGAGACAGCUUUUAUAGACCAUGAUUAGACAGUCUGUUUAUGCCAUGGAUCUUCAUGGCCACUACUAGAGUUUGAAGACUGAUUUACUGAAGAAAUUUUACAGAGAGCCUCUAGAGGCAGGGACAUAGGGCACAGUUGAGAGCUGAGUUUCUCUACCUCCAGAAUACCAGCCAUCAGGCACUCACCUUCCAGGGCAGAAAAAUGGAAGGCUUAUUUCUGGAGAAUUCCAGGGAAGCAAAUCCCUGAUCUCUAUUAUUGACAUUUUGGGUGCUUUAAUAAAAAGUAUGCAACACUGAAUGGUUAAAGUGAAACAUACCAGAUAACCACCAUCCUCUCGCCAUCAUUCAUGCAGAGGUGUUUUUUUUGAUUGUUUGUUUGAGAUGGACUCUUACUCUGUCACCCAACCUGGAGUGCAGGGGCACUGUGUCGGCUCAGUGCAACCUCUGUCUCCUGCGUUCAAGCAAUUCUCCUGCCUCAGCCUCCUGAGUAGCUGGGAUUACAGGCACCCACCACCACAGCUGGCUAAUUUUUAAAUUUUUAGUAGAGAUGGACUUCUUCAUGUUUGUCAGUCUGGUCUUGAACUCCCGACCUCAGGUGAUCCACCCACCUCGGUGAUCCACCCACCCAAUCCCAAAGGGUUGGGAUUACAGGCGUGAGCCACUGAGUCUGGCCAGAGGUUUUUUAAUGCAUUCCUAAACAUAUGAACAGUCUUUCAAGGACCAACAGACAUUAGGAGGAAGCCUUUGGGAUGAAAGAGUGACGCCCUAAUAAAAGGACUCAGAGAGAAAAAGGACCAAAUAAUCCAGAGAGAAGAAGAAAUUUACAAAUAAGUUAUCUCCAAAAGAUAAGAGCAAGACAUCACAUUUGUAAAACAAGAAAAAAAAUAGGUGAGUGCAGGGAGCAGAAUCAAAGAACACAAAUAAGGUGAAAAUUUUUUUAAUAUUGUAGAAAAAUUUUUAGAAGUCAGGAGUGUUUAGAGAACAAAUUCAAAUAAAUUUCCAGAAUAUAAAAUAAAAAGACAGAAAAUAGACAAUUAGUUAAGUGUAUGCUUAAAAAAUCAGAAGGAAGUCUUAUACUCAAAUAAUAGAUGUUUCAAAAAUAAAGAACAGAAAAUAAAAAUGGGAGGGGAUUAUCAAAAAAACAACAAAACACACUUUCUAGAACUGAAAGAUGUGAGUUUUCAUGUCAAGUGUGUUCAUCUUCAGCUAAGGAAGGAAGGAAAAAAGGAGAGACAAAAGGAGUAAGGGAGAGAGAGAAGAAGAAUUCCACACCCCACACCAUGAUGUAUUAUUACGGAAUUUCAGAACAUUUAAGACACAGGAUGGUCAUUAAAAUAUUUUAGGAAUGGGAUAGAAGUGGGAAGAGAAGGAACAGGUCACAUACAAAAGAAUAAGAAUCAGAAUGGCAUUAGAAAUCUCAAUGGAAACAUCACAGGCUAGAAGACAGUGGAUCAAUGUCAUCAAAAUUUUAAAUAAAAAAUGAUUUUCAACUUAAGUUUCUAUACCCAGGCAAAUUAUCAAUCCAGUGAAAAGGUAAAAUAGAAAAUUUUCCAAUAUGUAAGUACAAAAAAACCUUCUGUUCAUGUACCUUUAUUCAGGAAACUCCCAGAAGAUGAGCUUUAACACGAUGGAGUAGUAAAUCAAGAAAGAUAAAUAUACAAGAUCCAGUACACAAAAGACCCAACACAGGACUAAAGAAGAAAACAGAUAAGAGAAGGUAGCUGUGCCCAGGCUAGAGACCAAACAGAGGAAGAAGGGUGUUUAUGGACUGUUUUUUGUGUCUGGGUAUGAGCAUUGGGUAAAAGUGUUUAUGCUUCACCUAUCAGUUGCAGUAUGUGUCAGACGUUAUGCUAAUCACUGAAAUUAUAUACUUUAAUUAUCAUAUUAUAUGGAAUAUAAUUAUUGUACGUUUACUAUUACAAAAUUGCUAUUAUUUAUGUUAUUAUUAAGUUACUGUUACCUCACCAGAGGAAAACAUCUAAAUGGGUUUCCACCCUAUUUUAAAGAUUUUGAAUAAAAAUACAAACUCUAAGAUUAGCAUAAAUUUUGCUUUGAAGACCAAGAGGAAGUUAUCAGCUGGAACUGAUCCGCAAUGAGAGAUGUAACUGCCUGACAAGAGACAUAAGCCAUGGAAGAAAAGAAAGAAAAUAAACAAACCUCAAACAUGGAUCCAAAAUAAAAAGGAGCAAGAAAGAUGAUUCAAUUAUAGGAAUUGAUGUAUGACUGUGCUACUUCCCACAAGGGCAAAUCUACCUGUCCCUGGGUGAAUAACAGCAGGGAUUCAUGUAUAUGGUGAAAGCUAACAAUUCUCCCCUGAAUACCAGAAUUCCCUGUCCACAAACAGCUCAAAUGUCAUGGGUGGACCCAUAAACAGAAAUGCGAGGCUGUGGUUUGACAAGGACAGAAGUAGCAGCAUAUAAAAUUGUUGUCCGGAAGAGUGGUCCAUCCACCCUCCCUGAAGAACUAGGAUCUUUCUACCGAAGGAGUCCCAUGGGAAAACUAGGAAUUGGCGAGGUGGGAGGAGCUGACACGGUAUCUGUGGUGGAUGGGAGUGCAAAUUUGAAUACACACGAUCAUAAAACAGGAGAGACAGGAAAAGAGAUGAAAAUUGGGCUGUAGACAGACUGCAAAGGAUUUCAAUUUUCACAUUUCAUAAAGGUAACUGCUAAAGUUUAUUCCAAUCAUACUACAGGGCAGGUAUUAGGCUAAGCACUUAUUUUAUUUAAUAUUCGUUCCUGAGUUAUCUGCCUAAGUCCACUUUAUAGACUGAGAAACUGCCAUGCAGAGACAAAUAUGUAUUCUGUAAGAGGUAAGAAAGCCAGAAUAAUUCCUAAUUGCAAGAUGGGUUAUUUGACGAGAGCAGGAAAUAUUUGGAAUUUAAAACUGGAUUUUGAGGCUGAGUGCUGUGGCUCACACCUGUAAUCCCAGCACUUUGGGAAGCGGAGGUGGGCAGAUCAUUUGAAGUCAGGAGUUCAAGACCAGCCUUGCCAACAUGGUGAAACCCCAUCUCUACUAAAAAUACAAAAAUUAGCCGGGCAUGGUGGCCCAUGCCUGUAGUCCCAGGGAGGCUACUCGGGAGGCUGAGGCUAGAGAAUCACUUGAACCUGGGAGGCAGAGGUUACAAUGAGCCGAGAUCGUGCCACUGCACUCCAGCCUGGGUGAUAGAGUGAGAAUCAGUCUAAAUAAAAUAAAAUAAAAUAAAAUAAAAUAAAAUAAAAUAAAAUAAAAUAAAAUAAACUGGAUUUCAGGAAGGACAGUUGUACCGCUGCUGCCACUCUCAGUAGCAGUCUAGAAUGCAUAGUCCUGCAUGGCAUUUCACUAGCCUGACACUUGUUAAUUACUGUGCAAGUUAAUUUCAUCUUAUUUCCUGACACAUGGAAAAGACGGGAAAUGGAUGCGGCUCUCAG